This 465-nucleotide ribosomal RNA is filed under the name uncultured bacterium. RNAcentral's name for it is "partial 16S ribosomal RNA". It matches the Rfam family "Bacterial small subunit ribosomal RNA", at positions 28 to 507 of the family's 1533-position model. The record is from RNAcentral.
GACGAACGCUGGCGGCGCGCCUAACACAUGCAAGUCGAACGAGCGAUAGAGAGCUUGCUUUCUCGAGCGAGUGGCGAACGGGUGAGUAACGCGUGAGGAACCUGCCUCAAAGAGGGGGACAACAGUUGGAAACGACUGCUAAUACCGCAUAAGCCCACGGCUCGGCAUCGAGCAGGGGGAAAAGGAGCAAUCCGCUUUGAGAUGGCCUCGCGUCCGAUUAGCUAGUUGGUGAGGUAACGGCCCACCAAGGCAACGAUCGGUAGCCGGACUGAGAGGUUGAACGGCCACAUUGGGACUGAGACACGGCCCAGACUCCUACGGGAGGCAGCAGUGGGGAAUAUUGCACAAUGGGGAAACCCUGAUGCAGCGACGCCGCGUGGAGGAAGAAGGUCUUCGGAUUGUAAACUCCUGUUGUUGGGGAAGAUAAUGACGGUACCCAACAAGGAAGUGACGGCUAACUACGUG